This 220-nucleotide non-coding RNA is filed under the name Streptomyces sp. The record is from RNAcentral. Lineage: Bacteria; Bacillati; Actinomycetota; Actinomycetes; Kitasatosporales; Streptomycetaceae. RNAcentral also lists the same sequence under 1 other name.
UAGGGUGGCCCUGCGACUGGUUCGCCCUGUCAGCCAGGCAGGGUGUCGUAAGAGGGAACCCGGUGGGAAUCCGGGACUGCCCCGCAGCGGUGAGUGGGAACGACCGCCGUCAUACGCACUGGACCCGGCCGGGUCUGGGAAGCGACGGCCAUUAGGUGUCUCGUAACCGAUACGAGAUGAGCCCGCGAGUCCGAAGACCUGCCCGUUGACCGCGCGCGAC